CGUAGGGUGCGAGCGUUGUCCGGAAUUAUUGGGCGUAAAGGGCUCGUAGGCGGUUUGUCGCGUCGGGAGUGAAAACACCGGGCUUAACUCGGUGCUUGCUUUCGAUACGGGCAGACUAGAGGUAUGCAGGGGAGAACGGAAUUCCUGGUGUAGCGGUGAAAUGCGCAGAUAUCAGGAGGAACACCGGUGGCGAAGGCGGUUCUCUGGGCAUGACCUGACGCUGAGGAGCGAAAGUGUGGGGAGCGAACAGGAUUAGAUACCCUGGUAGUCCACACCGUAAACGUUGGGCGCUAGGUGUGGGAUCCAUUCCACGGGUUCCGUGCCGCAGCUAACGCAUUAAGCGCCCCGCCUGGGGAGUACGGCCGCAAGGCUA
RNAcentral lists this ribosomal RNA (373 nucleotides) under uncultured organism. RNAcentral describes it as "bacterial SSU rRNA". It matches the Rfam family "Bacterial small subunit ribosomal RNA", at positions 526 to 896 of the family's 1533-position model. The record is from RNAcentral.